CUACGGGACGCAGCAGUGGGGAAUAUUGGACAAUGGGGGAAACCCUGAUCCAGCGACGCCGCGUGACUGAAGAAGUAUUUCGGUAUGUAAAGGUCUAUCAGCAGGGAAGAAAAUGACGGUACCUGACUAAGAAGCCCCGGCUAACUACGUGCCAGCAGCCGCGGUAAUACGUAGGGGGCAAGCGUUAUCCGGAUUUACUGGGUGUAAAGGGAGCGUAGACGGCGAUGCAAGUCUGAAGUGAAAGCCCGGGGCUCAACCCCGGGACUGCUUUGGAAACUGUGUUGCUAGAGUGCAGGAGAGGUAAGUGGAAUUCCUAGUGUAGCGGUGAUAUGCGUAGAUAUUAGGAGGAACACCAGUGGCGAAGGCGGCUUACUGGACUGUAACUGACGUUGAGGCUCGAAAGCGUGGGGAGCGAACAGGAUUAGAUACCCCGGUAGUC
This 439-nucleotide ribosomal RNA is filed under the name uncultured bacterium. Its description in RNAcentral is "partial 16S ribosomal RNA". It matches the Rfam family "Bacterial small subunit ribosomal RNA", at positions 339 to 795 of the family's 1533-position model. The record is from RNAcentral.